RNAcentral lists this ribosomal RNA (1413 nucleotides) under uncultured bacterium. Its description in RNAcentral is "partial 16S ribosomal RNA". It matches the Rfam family "Bacterial small subunit ribosomal RNA". The record is from RNAcentral.
CGCUGGCGGCGUGCCUAACACAUGCAAGUCGAGCGGAGAAUGCAGAAAUGUUUACAUGGAUGUAUUCUUAGCGGCGGACGGGUGAGUAACACGUGGGUAACCUGCCUCAAAGAGGGGGAUAGCCUUCCGAAAAGGAAGAUUAAUACCGCAUAAGCUUACAGCAUUCGCAUGAUGCCGUAAGAAAAGGAGCAAUCCGCUUUGAGAUGGACCCGCGGCGCAUUAGCUAGUUGGUGAGGUAACGGCUCACCCAAGGCCACGAUGCGUAGCCGACCUGAGAGGGUGAUCGGCCACAUUGGAACUGAGACACGGUCCAGACUCCUACGGGAGGCAGCAGUGGGGAAUAUUGCACAAUGGGCGAAAGCCUGAUGCAGCAACGCCGCGUGAGUGAUGAAGGCUUUCGAGUCGUAAAGCUCUUUGAUCAGGGAUGAUAAUGACAGUACCUGAAAAACAAGCCACGGCUAACUACGUGCCAGCAGCCGCGGUAAUACGUAGGUGGCGAGCGUUGUCCGGAAUUACUGGGCGUAAAGAGCUCGUAGGUGGUUUGUCGCGUCGUCUGUGAAAUUCCGGGGCUUAACUCCGGGCGUGCAGGCGAUACGGGGCAUAACUUGAGUGCUGUAGGGGAGACUGGAAUUCCUGGUGUAGCGGUGAAAUGCGCAGAUAUCAGGAGGAACACCGAUGGCGAAGGCAGGUCUUGGGCAGUAACUGACGCUGAGGAGCGAAAGCAUGGGGAGCAAACAGGAUUAGAUACCCUGGUAGUCCAUGCCGUAAACAGUGGGCGGUAGGUGUAGGGGUCUUCCACGACUUCUGUGCCGUAGCUAACGCAUUAAGCGCCCCGCCUGGGGAGUACGGCCGCAAGGCUAAAACUCAAAGGAAUUGACCGGGGGCCCGCACAAGCGGCGGAGCAUGUGGAUUAAUUCGAUGCAACGCGAAGAACCUUACCUGGGCUUGACAUCCUUCAGACCACUCCUUAACCGGAGUCUUCCCUUCGGGGACUGAAGUGACAGGUGGUGCAUGGUUGUCGUCAGCUCGUGUCGUGAGAUGUUGGGUUAAGUCCCGCAACGAGCGCAACCCUUGUCUUUAGUUGCCAGCAAGUAAAGUUGGGCACUCUAGAGAGACUGCCGGGGAUAACUCGGAGGAAGGUGGGGAUGACGUCAAAUCAUCAUGCCCCUUAUGUUCAGGGCUACACACGUGCUACAAUGGCCGAUACAAAGGGCUGCGAAGGAGUAAUCUGGAGCCAAUCCCAUAAAGUCGGUCCCAGUUCGGAUUGUGGGCUGAAACUCGCCCACAUGAAGUUGGAGUUGCUAGUAAUCGCGAAUCAGAAUGUCGCGGUGAAUGCGUUCCCGGGUCUUGUACACACCGCCCGUCACACCACGGGAGUCGGAAGCGCCCGAAGCCAAGCUAUCUGAACCUUUU